AAGUGAAGACACAAAGAAAGUGAAAACUAUAUUCUUAUACUAAACAAAAUUAUAAUUAAUUCUGAAAUUUUUUGGAGUAUAGUCUGAUUGCGAAAUAUAACGAGGCCUUCGAAUUAUUAGAUGAACUAUUUAUUGCAUUCGAAAGUCCAUGAAAUUUUGAAGUACACCCCACUUGAGCAACACCAUGUUUUCCUUGGUAAAAUUUGUCUACGAGCAUAUGUACGUAAUUAACUCAAAAACCAUUAAACAGAAAUCCGAAGCGGAGUGCACAGUAAAUUAUAAAGGUGCAACCUAUUUGGCUCAAAUUAUCCUUGCAAGUGAUGACAGGGAUCAUCUGUGUAACAUAAAGGAAAAAAAUCUUCGAGCUUUACACGAACAAAAAAACAUAAAAGAGAGCAAUGUUUCCCACAAUGAAUUUAGCAACGACACACAAACAAACAAUAUUUCGCAUUUUAAGAACACACAAAAUUGUUCCCAAUAUGCAAUAUCAGCUGUAGGAGAAUCCUUGGAGUCCAUAUCUCCUACAAAUGUUUUAAACACAACUUCUUAAAUCGUUUCAAAUGGCAUUAAAAAGGCCGCCACUUUGGCAUCAUCGAAAGCUGAUUUCAGAGAAGCUUCGCGGAACUUAUGUCUUAAUGAAACGUCAAAUGAUCAUUGGACUUCCGUAAGGCUCGACAUGUUUUCUUUGGUGACAUUUGACAACAAUAGCUGGUAUGUUGUCAAUUCCAAAUCUGUUAAAGAAUAUGACGGAAAAAACUGCAUCGUAAAAUACAAAGGAGCCUUCUAUUCAGCACAAUUAAUUUCAA
Molecule: long non-coding RNA, 806 nt
Organism: Musca domestica (house fly)
Lineage: Eukaryota; Metazoa; Arthropoda; Insecta; Diptera; Muscidae
Exons: 4
Source: RefSeq, a predicted model, not a curated record